AUGCAGUCGCACGGACCUUUCGGGGUGAGUGGCGGACGGGUGAGUAUCGCGUAGGGAUCUAUCCAUGGGUGGGGGAUAACAUCGGGAAACUGGUGCUAAUACCGCAUGAUACCUGAGGGUCAAAGGCGCAAGUCGCCUGUGGAGGAGCCUGCGUUCGAUUAGCUUGUUGGUGGGGUAAAGGCCUACCAAGGCGAUGAUCGAUAGCUGGUCUGAGAGGAUGAUCAGCCACACUGGGACUGAGACACGGCCCAGACUCCUACGGGAGGCAGCAGUGGGGAAUAUUGGACAAUGGGCGAAAGCCUGAUCCAGCAAUGCCGCGUGUGUGAAGAAGGUCUUCGGAUUGUAAAGCACUUUCGACGGGGACGAUGAUGACGGUACCCGUAGAAGAAGCCCCGGCUAACUUCGUGCCAGCAGCCGCGGUAAUACGAAGGGGGCUAGCGUUGCUCGGAAUGACUGGGCGUAAAGGGCGCGUAGGCGGUUUACACAGUCAGAUGUGAAAUUCCAGGGCUUAACCUUGGGGCUGCAUUUGAUACGUGUAGACUAGAGUGUGAGAGAGGGUUGUGGAAUUCCCA
RNAcentral lists this ribosomal RNA (572 nucleotides) under uncultured bacterium. Its description in RNAcentral is "bacterial SSU rRNA". It matches the Rfam family "Bacterial small subunit ribosomal RNA", at positions 55 to 672 of the family's 1533-position model. The record is from RNAcentral.